AAUAUUAAAGGGCUGCAGUAUAUUGACUGUACAAAGGUAGCAUAAUCAUUAGUUUUUUAAUUGGAAACUUGUAUGAAAGAUUUAAUGAAAUAAUAACUGUCUCUAAAUUAUUAAUAGAAUUUUAUUUUUUAGUAAAAAAGCAAAAAUAGAUUUAAAAGACGAGAAGACCCUAUAGAGUUUUAUAUUUAAUUUAUUUUUAAUUAAAUAUAUAAAUUAAUAUAAAAAAUAAAUAAAAUAUUAUAUUGGGGUGAUAGAAAAAUUUAAUUAACUUUUUUUAAAUUAUAACCAUUAAUAAAUGAUUUUUUGAUCCAUAAAUAAUGAUUAAAAGAUAAAAUUACCUUAGGGAUAACAGCGUAAUAUUAUUUUUUAGUUCAAAUAAAAAAUAAAGUUUGCGACCUCGAUGUUGGAUUAAGAUAAAAUUUAAAUGCAAAAGUUUAAAAGUUU
This 444-nucleotide ribosomal RNA is filed under the name Stichophthalma howqua. RNAcentral's name for it is "partial 16S ribosomal RNA". The record is from RNAcentral. Lineage: Eukaryota; Metazoa; Arthropoda; Insecta; Lepidoptera; Nymphalidae.